This 1087-nucleotide ribosomal RNA is filed under the name uncultured Acidobacteriota bacterium. Its description in RNAcentral is "bacterial SSU rRNA". It matches the Rfam family "Bacterial small subunit ribosomal RNA", at positions 11 to 1133 of the family's 1533-position model. Lineage: Bacteria; Pseudomonadati; Acidobacteriota. The record is from RNAcentral.
GUUUGAUCCUGGCUCAGAAUCAACGCUGGCGGCGUGCCUAACACAUGCAAGUCGAACGAGAAAGUGGAGCAAUCCAUGAGUACAGUGGCGACCGGGUGAGUAACACGUGACUACCUGCCCUUGAGUGGGGGAUAACCUCGGGAAACCGAGGCUAACACCGCAUAAUAUCGCAAGAUCAAAGGAGCAAUCCGCUUUUGGAGGGGGUCGCGGCUGAUUAGCUAGUUGGUAGGGUAAUGGCCUACCAAGGCAAAGAUCGGUAUCCGGCCUGAGAGGGCGCACGGACACACUGGAACUGAAACACGGUCCAGACUCCUACGGGAGGCAGCAGUGGGGAAUUUUGCGCAAUGGGGGAAACCCUGACGCAGCAACGCCGCGUGGAGGAUGAAGCCCCUUGGGGUGUAAACUCCUUUCGACCGGGAAGAUAAUGACGGUACCGGUGGAAGAAGCACCGGCUAACUCUGUGCCAGCAGCCGCGGUAAUACAGAGGGUGCGAGCGUUGUUCGGAAUUAUUGGGCGUAAAGGGCGCGUAGGCGGUGCGGUAAGUCACCUGUGAAACCUCUGGGCUUAACUCAGAGCCUGCAGGCGAAACUGCCGUGCUGGAGGGUGGGAGAGGUGCGUGGAAUUCCCGGUGUAGCGGUGAAAUGCGUAGAUAUCGGGAGGAACACCUGUGGCGAAAGCGGCGCACUGGACCACUACUGACGCUGAGGCGCGAAAGCUAGGGGAGCAAACAGGAUUAGAUACCCUGGUAGUCCUAGCCCUAAACGAUGAUUGCUUGGUGUGAUCGGUACCCAAUCCGAUCGUGCCGCAGCUAACGCGAUAAGCAAUCCGCCUGGGGAGUACGGUCGCAAGGCUGAAACUCAAAGGGAAUUGACGGGGGCCCGCACAAGCGGUGGAGCAUGUGGUUCAAUUCGACGCAACGCGAAGAACCUUACCUGGGCUCGAAAUGCAGAGACCGGGGUAGAAAUAUCCUUUUCUCGCAAGAGACUGCUGUAUAGUGCUGCAUGCUGUCGUCAGCUCGUGUCGUGAGAUGUUGGGGUUAAGUCCCGCACGAGCGCAACCCUCAUCCCUAGUUGCCAUCGGUCAAGCG